UUUGACUGGGGCGGUCUCCUCCUAAAGAGUAACGGAGGAGCACGAAGGUUGGCUAAUCCUGGUCGGACAUCAGGAGGUUAGUGCAAUGGCAUAAGCCAGCUUGACUGCGAGCGUGACGGCGCGAGCAGGUGCGAAAGCAGGUCAUAGUGAUCCGGUGGUUCUGAAUGGAAGGGCCAUCGCUCAACGGAUAAAAGGUACUCCGGGGAUAACAGGCUGAUACCGCCCAAGAGUUCAUAUCGACGGCGGUGUUUGGCACCUCGAUGUCGGCUCAUCACAUCCUGGGGCUGAAGUAGGUCCCAAGGGUAUGGCUGUUCGCCAUUUAAAGUGGUACGCGAGCUGGGUUUAGAACGUCGUGAGACAGUUCGGUCCCUAUCUGCCGUGGGCGCUGGAGAACUGAGGGGGGCUGCUCCUAGUACGAGAGGACCGGAGUGGACGCAUCACUGGUGUUCGGGUUGUCAUGCCAAUGGCACUGCCCGGUAGCUAAAUGCGGAAGAGAUAAGUGCUGAAAGCAUCUAAGCACGAAACUUGCCCCGAGAUGAGUUCUCCCUGACUCCUUGAGAGUCCUGAAGGAACGUUGAAGACGACGACGUUGAUAGGCCGGGUGUGUAAGCGCAGCGAUGCGUUGAGCUA
This 630-nucleotide ribosomal RNA is filed under the name Escherichia coli. RNAcentral's name for it is "partial 23S ribosomal RNA". It matches the Rfam family "Bacterial large subunit ribosomal RNA", at positions 2269 to 2893 of the family's 2925-position model. The record is from RNAcentral. Lineage: Bacteria; Pseudomonadati; Pseudomonadota; Gammaproteobacteria; Enterobacterales; Enterobacteriaceae.